UGUUAAAAAUUUCAUUCAAUUUUAUUAUUAAAACUGACAUAAUUGACCAAACAAAUACAUAUAAUAUGUUAUGUGUACUUUAUGCUGAUGAACACAAACUGGCUUUUAAUAGUAAAAAUAGAUGAAAAACUUAACA
Molecule: microRNA precursor, 136 nt
Filed under: Gossypium hirsutum (cotton)
Lineage: Eukaryota; Viridiplantae; Streptophyta; Magnoliopsida; Malvales; Malvaceae
Also listed under: 1 other name
Description: MIR7502 microRNA precursor family
Rfam family: MIR7502 microRNA precursor family
Source: Rfam by way of RNAcentral